GAACGAACGCUGGCGGCAGGCCUAACACAUGCAAGUCGAGCGGACCUUUCGGGGUCAGCGGCGGACGGGUGAGUAACGCGUGGGAAUAUGCCCUUCUCUACGGAAUAGUCCUGGGAAACUGGGGGUAAUACCGUAUACGCCCUUUGGGGGAAAGAUUUAUCGGGGAAGGAUUAGCCCGCGUUGGAUUAGGUAGUUGGUGGGGUAAUGGCCUACCAAGCCGACAAUCCAUAGCUGGUUUGAGAGGAUGAUCAGCCACACUGGGACUGAGACACGGCCCAGACUCCUACGGGAGGCAGCAGUGGGGAAUCUUAGACAAUGGGGGCAACCCUGAUCUAGCCAUGCCGCGUGAGUGAUGAAGGCCUUAGGGUUGUAAAGCUCUUUCAGCUGGGAAGAUAAUGACGGUACCAGCAGAAGAAGCCCCGGCUAACUCCGUG
Molecule: ribosomal RNA, 434 nt
Filed under: uncultured bacterium
Lineage: Bacteria
Description: partial 16S ribosomal RNA
Rfam family: Bacterial small subunit ribosomal RNA
Source: RNAcentral